GGAAGAGAGGGAAUAUCCAGGAGGAAAGUGCUAUCCUCAGCUACAAAACAUCCCCUGGGAACCCACCUUGCCUUGCAGCUCUUGUGUGCUGACUUCCCCUGGUGUGAAGGUAGGUUGAAGUGCCAGCUGUUAGAAGGAAUAAUUAUCACAGCACUUCCUGCUAGCACUUCAGAUUUUAGAGAGGAGAACCAGAAGUUACCUGAUUCCACAGUUUGGAUUCUUUUUCCCUUUUUUUUUUUUUUUUUUUCUUACUGCCUUUGCCAGUUUUAUUCUGAGUAUUCAACACAUUGAUAAGGUUUAUCAUUGCAGUGACAAUCUUGUAAGCUAUAUUCAUAAUACCAUUUUAAAUGAGAUGUGGGGUAAACCUGUCCUAUUAUAGACUUGGAAAUCCUCUCACAUUUAAAUCUAAUCCACGUCUUCUAAACAUUUAGGAUGAUAGCAGUGACUAGGAAAUGCUGAGAAAUGUGUCUGUGCUCCAGAUUACAAAACACAAAGGCAAUAACUGUAAUGUGCUAUUGCUCUCUGCCUGCUUUUAGCUUACAGCUAAUUGCAUAGAUAGGGACCAUCAUUUACUGCUGAUGCUUAUGCACCAUUCAUUCACACACAGCAGUCACUUCCUCAUCCCUAUGUUAAUUGUCUGUCACUAGCAGUGUAGCUCGUACCUCUGUGAGGCCAUCUAAACACGCUGUUACCCUGCUAUCCACUCUGCUUGUGUUCCCAGACAGACCAUGGCUGAUCAUUGCUGAAAUAACAGCUAUGUGUAUUAGUUUUACAAGGGGCUGAAACCAAAUAAAUUAACAAACCUGCUUCA
This 811-nucleotide long non-coding RNA is filed under the name Coturnix japonica (Japanese quail). RNAcentral's name for it is "lncRNA (ENSCJPG00005003313.1)". Lineage: Eukaryota; Metazoa; Chordata; Aves; Galliformes; Phasianidae. The record is from RNAcentral.